UGGGGAAUAUUGGACAAUGGGCGAAAGCCUGAUCCAGCCAUGCCGCGUGUGUGAAGAAGGUCUUCGGAUUGUAAAGCACUUUAAGUUGGGAGGAAGGGCAUUAACCUAAUACGUUAGUGUUUUGACGUUACCGACAGAAUAAGCACCGGCUAACUCUGUGCCAGCAGCCGCGGUAAUACAGAGGGUGCAAGCGUCAAUCGGAAUUACUGGGCGUAAAGCGCGCGUAGGUGGUUUGUUAAGUUGGAUGUGAAAUCCCCGGGCUCAACCUGGGAACUGCAUUCAAAACUGACUGACUAGAGUAUGGUAGAGGGUGGUGGAAUUUCCUGUGUAGCGGUGAAAUGCGUAGAUAUAGGAAGGAACACCAGUGGCGAAGGCGACCACCUGGACUAAUACUGACACUGAGGUGCGAAAGCGUGGGGAGCAAACA
This 427-nucleotide ribosomal RNA is filed under the name uncultured bacterium. RNAcentral's name for it is "partial 16S ribosomal RNA". It matches the Rfam family "Bacterial small subunit ribosomal RNA", at positions 355 to 774 of the family's 1533-position model. The record is from RNAcentral.